GGCAGCCGCGGUAAUUCCAGCUCCAAUAUCGUAUAUUAAAGUUGUUGCAGUUAAAAAGCUCGUAGUUGGAUUUCAAGGGUCGCAGCGUGGAAUACACGCCUGCACCCUACCAGUCUUUGACUGUUACUGUGAGAAAAUUAGAGUGUUUCAAGCAGGCUGUUGCCCGAAUACAUUAGCAUGGAAUAACGAAUGUGUCUAGAAUCUUGGUUAAUUCUAGAAUACGAUUAAUAGGGACAGUUGGGGGCAUUAGUAUUUAAUUGUCAGAGGUGAAAUUCUUGGAUUUGUUAAAGACUAACGUAUGCGAAAGCAUUUGCCAAGGAUGUUUUCAUUAAUCAAGAACGAAAGUUAGGGGAUCGAAGACGAUCAGAUACCGUCGUAGUCUUAACCAUAAACUAUGCCGACUAGGGAUCGGAUGAUGUUAAUUUUUUAAUGACUCA
RNAcentral lists this ribosomal RNA (437 nucleotides) under uncultured Semispathidium. RNAcentral describes it as "bacterial SSU rRNA". It matches the Rfam family "Eukaryotic small subunit ribosomal RNA", at positions 569 to 1078 of the family's 1831-position model. The record is from RNAcentral. Lineage: Eukaryota; Ciliophora; Litostomatea; Haptorida; Spathidiidae.